This 425-nucleotide ribosomal RNA is filed under the name uncultured bacterium. RNAcentral's name for it is "bacterial SSU rRNA". It matches the Rfam family "Bacterial small subunit ribosomal RNA", at positions 354 to 777 of the family's 1533-position model. The record is from RNAcentral.
GUGAGGAAUAUUGGUCAAUGGGCGAGAGCCUGAACCAGCCAAGCCGCGUGAGGGAAGAAGGCGCUCAGCGUCGUAAACCUCUUUAGCCGGGGGACAAAACCUCCUCGUGAAGGAGGCUUGAGAGUACCCGGAGAAUAAGCAUCGGCUAACUCCGUGCCAGCAGCCGCGGUAAUACGGAGGAUGCGAGCGUUAUCCGGAUUUAUUGGGUUUAAAGGGUGCGCAGGCGGACAUUCAAGUCUGCGGUCAAAUUCCGGGGCUCAACCCCGGCCAGCCGUGGAAACUGAAUGACUUGAGUGGGCGAGAGGUAUGCGGAAUGCGCGGUGUAGCGGUGAAAUGCUUAGAGAUCGCGCAGAACUCCGAUUGCGAAGGCAGCAUACCGGCGCCUUACUGACGCUCAGGCACGAAAGCGUGGGGAUCGAACAGGA